AUCAACAAGACCAGCAGGAAAGGAAGAGGAGUACCAGAGUGAGAAGAGAACCGGGUUGGACCAGAGACUACAAGAUGACAUAAGGCCAAUGGUUAAAGAAUUAGUUAGUGGACAGAGAGAGUUAGUUGAGUAAUUGUAAAGAAUUUGUUAGUGGACACAGAGAGUUAGUUGAGUAGAAUAAAUAAUGGAUUCUUCAAUUUGUUAAAGAGUAAAUAGAGACAUUGUAUGAGAGGACAGAUAUGCAAGAAAUAAACAAUUCUUCUUCUCCAGACCUCUUAGGAGUUCACUGAAACUCGAAUUCAGUUUUUUACUUUUCCCAAUCUUCUUCGUUCAUAACAAAUUGGUGCUUUCAUUCUUGUUUCCAUGGUCGACGGUACCCGUGCGAGGUUUGAUGACCAAAGCAGGAGUAUGCAGGCCAGCCAUAAUUAGUACAAGAAAGACACUGAUGCGAAGCUUGAUGAGAUUAUUGAAUCUUUGAAAAGCUUGCAGACAUUGUUUAUGGAGGCAUUAAAUCACAAGGAUGCGAUAUUUCAAAGGGAUACGCCUCACGCAGGUGGACAGUGAGGGAACUCUGCUCUCCAAGGGUAUGCAAAUCAAUCCACGUUUCUUACGUCUAGAAGUUCCAAGGUUCGAUGGCACCGAUGUCACUGGUUGGAUCUUCAAGAUUCAACAAUUUUUUGAUUUCCAUAAUACUUCUAAAGAACAACGAUUGUUGAUUACUUCCUUUCAUCUUGAUGGUGUGGCUCUCAGUAGGUACCAGUGGAUGCACUCCAGUGGUCUGAUUCAACGUUGGAAAGGGUUUUUACAGGUAGUAUCGAUUCGAUUUGGUCCUUCAAUUUUUUAAGAUCAUCGAGGCGCCUUAGUUCGAUUACAACAAACAUCUACAUUUUCUUUACAUCAAGAUCAAUUUGAAAAGUUGUCUACCAAAGUUGCUGGUUUGUCUGAGAUCUUCUUGAUUAGUAUCUUUAUUUCUGGGUUAAAACCGGAGCUACGCAGAGAGCUUUUGGUCGCUCAACCAGUUUCACUUUUACAUGCGAUGAGUUUGGCGAACCUCUAUGAACAGAAAUAUUUGGAUCUUCGGCAUUCUUGGACGCCAUCCUGGUCGAAACAAUCUGUGACCACUCCUCGGGUUUUGGGGCCUCCACCACCUGUGUCUAAAUCUUUGCAAGCAUUACCAAGUCCAAUGGUGACUAAACAACUUCCUAUCAAACGACUCUCCCCUGCUGAACUUACUGCUAGAAGGGAAAAGGUCUUUGUUAUAAUUGAAUUGAGAAAUAUGCCCCAGGUCAUAAAUGUAAGCAACGAUUCUUGCUAUUAGUAGGUGACUCUGUGGAAGAGGAAGUAGAUACAGAAACUGUAGAAAUUGCAGACACAGCCUUCGAUAAUGUUCCAUUGCACGAGAUCAGCCUGCAUGCCUUUGUUGGGCAACUCAAUCCCAGAACAAUCAGAUUGAAAGGAAUCUGUGGAGUAUCAAGGCCACAUAGUUUCCAGCUUGGGUGUCCAAGUCGACAGUACUAAAAUCAGUGUAAUGUUAUAAUGGCCAACAUCGCAAACUCUUAAGCAUCUGAGGGGCUUUUUGGGACUCACUGGAUACUACAGAAAAUUCAUUCGACACUAUACUACUAUUGCAGCACCUUUAACUGAUCUACUUAAGACGGAUGCCUUUUAUUGGUCUGAGGUCGCUCAACAAGCCUUUAAUGAUCUGAAACAGAAGAUGACUUUAGCACCAGUUUUGGCCUUGCCAAGCUUUGCAUUAGAUUUUGAGGUAGAAACUGAUGCUUCAGGGAUAGGGAUUGGUGCUGUUCUCAGUCAGGAAGGUCAUCCAUUAGCAUUUUUCAGUAAAAAGCUUUACCCAAGGAUGAGGACAACUUCAACUUAUGUUCGAGAGCUCUUUGCUAUUUCUGCGGCAGUUUUGAAGUGGCGACAUUAUUUGUUAGGGAGGACAUUUCUUAUUAAGACUGAUCACAGAAGUUUGAAGGAGUUGAUGAACCAAGUCAUACAGACUCCUGAGCAAUAUCACUACCUCAGCAAAUUGAUGGGCUAUACUUAUAAAAUUGUGUAUCGUCCUGGGAAAGAAAAUGUUGCAGUAGACGCUCUCUCCAGAGUACCUGAACUACCAGAGGAGGUUUCUCCAACAAUUGCUUUCAACACCUCAAUUUGACAUUGUUGACACCCUAUUAGAGACUAAUUCGAGGGAUCCAGAGUUACAACACCUCCAUCGACAGUUGCAUGACGAAUCAUUGGCUAAUUCUGGGUAUGAAGUGAAGGGAGGUUUACUCUAUUAUAAGAAUAGAGUGGUGCUUAGUUCCACUUCUGACCUAAAGCAUACUAUCUUGCGGGAAUUUCAUUCCAGUCCUUUAGGUGGCCAUGCCGGAUCUUUACGUACCUAUAAGAGAGCGGCAGCAAGUUUCUCUUGGCCAGCUAUGCUCAAGGAUGUGAUUGAAUUUGUGAGAAAUUGUGUAAUCUGUCAGCAAACUAAGUCUCUUACCACAAGGCCUGCUGGAUUGCUGCAACCUUUUCCUAUGCCUCAACAGGUUUAGGAAGAUAUUUCAUUAGAUUUCAUCACGGGUUGACCUGUAUCACAAGGUUAUUCCGUAAUUCUGGUAGUGGUGGAUAGGCUUUCCAAGUAUGCACAUUUUGGAGGCUUACCAUCUUCUUAUAAUGCUCCGAAGGUUGCUCAAUUAUUUACCCAAAUGGUGGUCAAGUUAUAUGGUUUCCCUCGAUCAAUUGUGUCUGAUUGGGAUGCCAUAUUUCUCAGCCAUUUUGGCAAGAACUUUUUAAACUCAGUAGUACUACUCUAAGUUUGAGCACUGCUUACCACCCGCAAACUGAUGGGCAGACUGAGGUACUAAACAAGUGUUUGGAGCAGUAUCUAUGUUGUUUUGUUCAUGAGAAACCUACUCAGUGGUCCAAGUUUUUAAGAUGGGCUGAGUUAAGGUAUAAUACCUCUCAUCAUACUUCCAUUGCGAUGUCCCCUUUCCAAGCUCUUUAUGGCAGAUUACCCCUUACACUUCCAGAUUAUAUUGCAGGUGAUACUUGAGUUGAAGCUGUGGAACAUGAGCUUAGCGACAGAACUGAACUCCUCCAUCAUCUCAAGACUAAUCUUAUGAAGGUUCAGGUAACAAUGAAGUCUACUGCUGAUGGACAUAGACACGACUUGCAAUUCCGUGAGGGGGAAUGGUCUUACUCAAGUUACAGCGAUAUAGACAACAGACUGUAGCUUACCGAUCAACUCAAAAGCUUAGCAGACGUUUUUAUGGACCAUUUCAGGUAAUCAAGAGGGUGGGUAUGGUUGCAUACUGUCUUCAAUUACCACCAGGAAGUAGAAUUCAUCCUGUCUUCCAUGUAUCUCUGCUUCGUCCAUUUCAUUGUGAUCCUCACGCUGUUCUUGAAAGUCCUCUGCCAGCUUUGAGUUAUCAUCAACAGCCUAUUCGCAGUCCUUUAGCUGUUCUGGAAACUAGAGAAAUUAUCCAACAAGGCCACAUAGUUCCUCAGAUCCUGAUUCAAUGGGAGGGCCUAGCUGUGGAAGAUGCAACCUGGGAGGAUUUUCAACCUUUUACUGCAAGAUUUCCUGACCUCAACCUUGAGGACAAGGUUGUUUUUGAUGGGGUAGAUAAUGGAAUGAAUAGCCCUAUAGUCUUAGAACAUCAACAAAUUAUUGACACUAUCAAUAAGGAAUUGGAUGAAAAGCCCAAUGUCCAUUCCAAUACUGUUACUACAGAUCAACAAGACCAGCAGGAAAGGAAGAGGAGUACCAGAGUGAGAAGAGAACCGGGUUGGACCAGAGACUACAAGAUGACAUAAGGCCAAUGGUUAAAGAAUUAGUUAGUGGACAGAGAGAGUUAGUUGAGUAAUUGUAAAGAAUUAGUUAGUGGACAGAGAGAGUUAGUUGAGUAAUUGUAAAGAAUUUGUUAAUGGACACAGAGAGUUAGUUGAGUAGAAUGAAUAAUGGAUUCUUCAAUUUGUUAAAGAGUAUAAAUACAGACAUUGUAUGGGAGGACAGAUAUGCAAGAAAUAAACAAUUCUUCUUCUCCAGCCCUUUUAGGAGUUCACUGAAA
Molecule: long non-coding RNA, 4058 nt
Organism: Macadamia integrifolia
Lineage: Eukaryota; Viridiplantae; Streptophyta; Magnoliopsida; Proteales; Proteaceae
Exons: 2
Source: RefSeq, a predicted model, not a curated record